This 428-nucleotide ribosomal RNA is filed under the name uncultured bacterium. RNAcentral describes it as "partial 16S ribosomal RNA". It matches the Rfam family "Bacterial small subunit ribosomal RNA", at positions 354 to 796 of the family's 1533-position model. The record is from RNAcentral.
GUGGGGAAUAUUGGGCAAUGGGCGCAAGCCUGACCCAGCAACGCCGCGUGAAGGAAGAAGGCUUUCGGGUUGUAAACUUCUUUUACCAGGGACGAAACAAAUGACGGUACCUGGUGAAUAAGCCACGGCUAACUACGUGCCAGCAGCCGCGGUAAUACGUAGGUGGCGAGCGUUAUCCGGAUUUAUUGGGUGUAAAGGGCGGGUAGGCGGGACAGCAAGUCAGAUGUGAAAACCAGAGGCUCAACCUCUGGCCUGCAUUUGAAACUGUUGUUCUUGAGUGUCGGCGAGGUAAUCGGAAUUCCGUGUGUAGCGGUGAAAUGCGUAGAUAUACGGAGGAACACCAGUGGCGAAGGCGGAUUACUGGACGAUAACUGACGCUGAGGCGCGAAAGCGUGGGGAGCAAACAGGAUUAGAAACCCCUGUAGUCC